This 253-nucleotide ribosomal RNA is filed under the name uncultured bacterium. RNAcentral's name for it is "partial 16S ribosomal RNA". It matches the Rfam family "Bacterial small subunit ribosomal RNA", at positions 524 to 776 of the family's 1533-position model. The record is from RNAcentral.
UACGGGGGGGGCAAGCGUUGUUCGGAAUUACUGGGCGUAAAGGGUUCGUAGGUGGCCAACUAAGUCAGACGUGAAAUCCCUCAGCUUAACUGGGGAACUGCGUCUGAUACUGAUUGGCUUGAGUGCAGGAGAGGAACGCGGAAUUCCAGGUGUAGCGGUGAAAUGCGUAGAUAUCUGGAGGAACACCGGUGGCGAAGGCGGCGUUCUGGACUGCAACUGACACUGAGGAACGAAGGCUAGGGUAGCGAAAGGG